AUUGUGAAUUGUGCAUGCAAGGGAUCUGGGUUGCGUGCUCCUUAUGAGAAUCUAAUGCCUGAUGAGCGGUCACUGUCUCCCGUCAGCCCCAGAUGGGACCAUGUAGUUGCAGGAAAAAAGCUCAGGGCUCCCAUUUAUUCUACAUUAUGGUAAGUUGUAUAAUUAUUUCAUAAUAUAUUGCAGUGAAAUAAUAACAGAAAUAAAGCACGGAAUAAAUGUAAUGGGCUUGAACCAUCUCCACAUCAUGCUUUCUCCUUCUCCUGGGUCCGUGGAAUAGUUGUCUUCAAGAAAAGUGUCCUGCGGGUUGCUUCUAAAUGGAGAGCAUUUUGGCAAAUCGUGUCAAACCAAGCAGAAAGAAGGGCAAGGAUGCUUGUCAACCAAGCAGCAAGAAGGGUGAGGAGCCCGGUUUCCUGACCUCACCCUCGGAGGACAUGGCCAGGACUCCACAAAGCCCUGCAGGGGCGGCUUGGGAACACAUCCACCAUCCUGUUGAGUAAGCAGCCACCAACCCAGGAAGCAGCAGAGGGGGGCACACUGGCAGAGCCCGCAUGCUGCAGAGCAGGGCCAGCAGAUCUGCACUCAGCCUCAGCCCCAGGGGAGCUGCAAGACAGACUGAGACCCUCAUAGGUUUGGCUCUGUGUCCCCACCAAAUCUCAUCUGGAAUUGUAAUCCUCCUGUGUCAAGGGAGGAAGCUGGUGGGAGGGGAUUGGAUUUGGGGACAGU
Sapajus apella (tufted capuchin) is the source of this 723-nucleotide long non-coding RNA. RefSeq lists it as uncharacterized. Lineage: Eukaryota; Metazoa; Chordata; Mammalia; Primates; Cebidae. The record is from RefSeq and is a predicted model, not a curated record. The transcript is spliced from 3 exons.